GAUGAACGCUGGCGGCGUGCUUAACACAUGCCAGUCGAACGGAAAGGCCCAAGCUUGCUUGGGUACUCGAGUGGCGAACGGGUGAGUAACACGUGGGUGAUCUGCCCUGCACUUCGGGAUAAGCCUGGGAAACUGGGUCUAAUACCGGAUAGGACCACUUCUUGGAUGUUGUGGUGGAAAGUUUUUUCGGUGUGGGAUGAGCUCGCGGCCUAUCAGCUUGUUGGUGGGGUAGUGGCCUACCAAGGCGUCGACGGGUAGCCGGCCUGAGAGAGUGUACGGCCACAUUGGAAUUGAGAGACGGCCCAGAGUCCUAAGUGAGGCGGCAGUGGGGAAUGUUGCACGAUGGGCGCAAGCCUGAUGCAGGAACGCCGCGUGGGGGAUGACGGCUGUCGGUUUGUAAACUCCAAUCGCUAGGGACGAAGCGUUUUGUGACGGUACCUGGAGAAGAAAGCCCGGCUAACUACGUG
RNAcentral lists this ribosomal RNA (467 nucleotides) under uncultured bacterium. RNAcentral's name for it is "partial 16S ribosomal RNA". It matches the Rfam family "Bacterial small subunit ribosomal RNA", at positions 28 to 507 of the family's 1533-position model. The record is from RNAcentral.